RNAcentral lists this ribosomal RNA (253 nucleotides) under uncultured bacterium. RNAcentral's name for it is "partial 16S ribosomal RNA". It matches the Rfam family "Bacterial small subunit ribosomal RNA", at positions 524 to 776 of the family's 1533-position model. The record is from RNAcentral.
UACAGAGGUCUCAAGCGUUGUUCGGAUUCAUUGGGCGUAAAGGGUGUGUAGGUGGCGCCGUAAGUCGGGUGUGAAAUUUCGGAGCUUAACUCCGAAACUGCAUUCGAUACUGCGGUGCUUGAGGACUGGAGAGGAGACUGGAAUUCAUGGUGUAGCAGUGAAAUGCGUAGAGAUCAUGAGGAAGACCAGCGGCGAAGGCGGGUCUCUGGACAGUUCCUGACACUGAGACACGAAGGCCAGGGGAGCAAACGGG